This 408-nucleotide ribosomal RNA is filed under the name uncultured bacterium. Its description in RNAcentral is "partial 16S ribosomal RNA". It matches the Rfam family "Bacterial small subunit ribosomal RNA", at positions 28 to 526 of the family's 1533-position model. The record is from RNAcentral.
GACGAACGCUGGCGGCGUGCUUAACACAUGCAAGUCGAACGAAGUGGCGAACGGGUGAGUAACGCGUAAUCAACCUGCCCUUCAGGGGGGGACAACAUUUGGAAACGAAUGCUAAUACCUGAUACUGUGAGAGAGCUUUGCGUCCCAUUAGCUAGUUGGAGAGGUAAGGGCUCACCAAGGCGGUGACGGGUAGCCGGCCUGAGAGGGUGACCGGCCACAUUGUGACUGAGAUACGGCCCAGACUCCUACGGGAGGCAGCAGUGGGGGAUAUGGCACAAGGGGCGAAAGCCUGAUGCAGGGACGCUGCGUGGGGGAUGAAGGCUUUCGGGUUGUAAACCUCGUUCGCUAUCGAACGGGUAGGUGGAGAAGAAGCGCCGGCUAACUACGUGCCAGCAGCCGCGGUAAUAC